Molecule: ribosomal RNA, 465 nt
Filed under: uncultured bacterium
Lineage: Bacteria
Description: bacterial SSU rRNA
Rfam family: Bacterial small subunit ribosomal RNA
Source: RNAcentral
GACGACGCUGGCGGCGUGCCUAACACAUGCAAGUCGAACGGACAUUAAUUUUCGGAAUUGAUGUUAGUGGCGGACGGGUGAGUAACGCGUGAGCAACCUGCCUUUCAGAGGGGGAUAACGUAUGGAAACGUACGCUAAUACCGCAUGACAUAUAUUUGCCGCAUGGCAGAUAUAUCAAAGGAGCAAUCCGCUGAGAGAUGGGCUCGCGUCCGAUUAGAUAGUUGGUGGGGUAACGGCCUACCAAGUCAGCGAUCGGUAGCCGGACUGAGAGGUUGAACGGCCACAUUGGGACUGAGACACGGCCCAGACUCCUACGGGAGGCAGCAGUGGGGGAUAUUGCACAAUGGGCGAAAGCCUGAUGCAGCAACGCCGCGUGAGGGAAGACGGUUUUCGGAUUGUAAACCUCUGUCUUUGGUGACGAAACAAAUGACGGUAGCCAAGGAGGAAGCCACGGCUAACUACGUG